GAUGAACGCCGGCGGCGUGCCUAAGACAUGCAAGUCGAGCGGGCAUCUUCGGGUGUCAGCGGCGGACGGGUGAGUAACGCGUGGGAACGUGCCUUCUGGUUCGGAAUAACUCAGGGAAACUUGAGCUAAUACCGGAUACGCCAUUUUGGGGAAAGGUUUACUGCCAGAAGAUCGGCCCGCGUCUGAUUAGCUAGUUGGUGGGGUAACGGCCUACCAAGGCGACGAUCAGUAGCUGGUCUGAGAGGAUGAUCAGCCACACUGGGACUGAGACACGGCCCAGACUCCUACGGGAGGCAGCAGUGGGGAAUAUUGGACAAUGGGGGCAACCCUGAUCCAGCCAUGCCGCGUGAGUGAUGAAGGCCUUAGGGUUGUAAAGCUCUUUUACCCGGGAUGAUAAUGACAGUACCGGGAGAAUAAGCUCCGGCUAACUCCGUGCCAGCCGCCGCGGUAA
This 451-nucleotide ribosomal RNA is filed under the name uncultured bacterium. Its description in RNAcentral is "partial 16S ribosomal RNA". It matches the Rfam family "Bacterial small subunit ribosomal RNA", at positions 28 to 523 of the family's 1533-position model. The record is from RNAcentral.